RNAcentral lists this ribosomal RNA (373 nucleotides) under uncultured bacterium. RNAcentral describes it as "bacterial SSU rRNA". It matches the Rfam family "Bacterial small subunit ribosomal RNA", at positions 527 to 898 of the family's 1533-position model. The record is from RNAcentral.
GUAGGGGGCAAGCGUUGUCCGGAAUCAUUGGGCGUAAAGCGCGUGUAGGCGGCCAGAUAAGUCCGCUGUGAAAUCUCGAGGCUCAACUUCGAGCUGUCGGUGGAAACUGUCUGGCUAGAGUCCGGAAGAGGAGAAUGGAAUUCCUGGUGUAGCGGUGAAAUGCGCAGAUAUCAGGAAGAACACCCGUGGCGAAGGCGGUUCUCUGGGACGGUACUGACGCUGAGACGCGAAAGCGUGGGGAGCGAACAGGAUUAGAUACCCUGGUAGUCCACGCCGUAAACGAUGGGUGCUAGGUGUGGGGGGUGUCGACUCCCUCCGUGCCGAAGCUAACGCAUUAAGCACCCCGCCUGGGGAGUACGGCCGCAAGGCUAAA